AUGAGUGUGACGAUCUGGCUGGUUCAUCACAGACCCUCAGCAGGGAAAAGAUAACAUUCUCCAGAGUGGAUCCACACCCACAGCUUUGUAUGAAGUUUACCACAGAUUCUGGAUCCUGGAUCCGGUGCCCCUUUGCAGAUGGGAAUUUCCAAG
Molecule: long non-coding RNA, 153 nt
Organism: Coregonus clupeaformis (lake whitefish)
Lineage: Eukaryota; Metazoa; Chordata; Actinopteri; Salmoniformes; Salmonidae
Exons: 3
Source: RefSeq, a predicted model, not a curated record